Molecule: non-coding RNA, 24 nt
Filed under: Arabidopsis thaliana (thale cress)
Lineage: Eukaryota; Viridiplantae; Streptophyta; Magnoliopsida; Brassicales; Brassicaceae
Source: RNAcentral
AGCCCCAAGUAGGGAGACCGCCUA